Molecule: unclassified non-coding RNA, 349 nt
Filed under: soil metagenome
Description: partial contains 5.8S ribosomal RNA, internal transcribed spacer 2, and large subunit ribosomal RNA
Rfam family: 5.8S ribosomal RNA (bases 1-120)
Source: RNAcentral
GAUGAAGAACGUAGCGAAAUGCGAUAAGUAAUGUGAAUUGCAGAAUUCAGUGAAUCAUCGAAUCUUUGAACGCACAUUGCGCCCGCCAGUAUUCUGGCGGGCAUGCCUGUCCGAGCGUCAUUUCAACCCUCGAACCCCUCCGGGGGGUCGGCGUUGGGGAUCGGCCCUUACGGGGCCGGCCCCGAAAUACAGUGGCGGUCUCGCCGCAGCCUCUCCUGCGCAGUAGUUUGCACACUCGCAUCGGGAGCGCGGCGCGUCCACAGCCGUUAAACACCCCAAACUUCUGAAAUGUUGACCUCGGAUCAGGUAGGAAUACCCGCUGAACUUAAGCAUAUCAAUAAGCGGAGGA